Molecule: long non-coding RNA, 344 nt
Filed under: Phasianus colchicus (ring-necked pheasant)
Lineage: Eukaryota; Metazoa; Chordata; Aves; Galliformes; Phasianidae
Description: lncRNA (ENSPCLG00000009857.1)
Source: RNAcentral
AUGCUGUGUCUCUCAAGAUCAGUACUUGCUAUUAUCUCUAUUGAGGUAGUGCUCAGUGUGGUUGAGUACAGAGCGAUGGGCAGCACGCUGUUGGGUUUUGAAACUGGGCUCCCUCAGCAAGGAACAGGUCUGGAUCUCAUGGCUGCAGAAACUAUCCCUGUAAUACUGGUUUGGUGAGUAACUUUUGCUGAUCCUACACUAUUUCAUGAUUUCACAUGGGAAAUAGCCUUUCUAGAACAGUAAAUGAUAUACUAAGUGUAUGUGGAUGCCCCAUCCCUGGAGGCAUUGAAGGCCAGGCUGGAUGUGGCUCUGGGCAGCCUGGUCUAGUGGUUGGUGACCAUGUA